GCCUCACGUUUUCUGAGCUUCAUGUAUGGUCACGUGACUCUGUGCAUGUGCUGAGGCAGAGCAUCAAGGCAGGGAGCAUAGGAUGAAGCAAAACAACUCAUCUUACAGUGGACAGGAAGCAGAGAGGGCCCUGGGGAGAAGAUAUUCCCAUCUAGGGCAUAUUCCUAAGCAACCUACUUCUUCCAAUCAAGCCCCAACUUUCACUUUCCACCACCUCCCAGUAAUGAGGUUUAUUUCAGCUUACUGUCCAUCAUCUUGGAGAAGUUCAGGCUGCAGGAUCUGCAACAAUUGCUCACAUCACAGCCACAGCCAAGAGUAGAGAGCAAUGGAUUCACGCACGUAUACACUCUAGAUCUCAGCUUGCUUUCUUACCUAUACAGUUCUGGUCCAGCCUAUAAUUAGGAUGGGCUUUCCCACCUUAAUUGACUAACAUACCUAAGGUAAUUCCCCAUAGAUAUUCCCAAAGGCUAACCUAAUCUACACCAAGAUUGCCUUCCCAGGUAGAUUGAGUCAAUUUGACAAUGGAAAUCAACGGCCACAAGAGAUCAUGCUGUAGCGCUCCAUUCUACAUUGCUGGAACCCCAAGUCUUCCAGAUCAUCAAUGCUUCUUUAGAUUUCAGUUCCAAGGGGUGACCUCUUUCCAGGUUGGUGAUCUGGGUGGACCACUGCACCAUUGCAGCCUGAGUUAAUGGAAGACCUGAGUUUGUUGCAGCAGAACAAUUUGGACCUAAGAUUCCAGUGCUAUUGAAGCCACGCUAUCCUAGGAUCCUGAUCUAAAGACAGCAGGUGGGCUAUCAAAGCACUUGUCUUAUUCUAUCAUGUUUGUUGGAAGACGGGGCUCCCUUAAAGGGAAAUACCAUCCAUGGGAUUGGGGCCUGAUUAUGUAUUGAGUGGCUCAGGGUGGUAGAGGUAUUUGUGUGUGUAUUUGGGUGUGCAUGUGCAGACAUGUACUAGUUUAGCAAUAGCGUCUCGAGGGUCUCCUUAAAAGCUACAGGCAGGAGAGAAUGGACUGGCUUAGUGGAGAAUGGCUAAUUAGUAGUUCAUGGUUGAGGAAAGUCAGCUUCAUCUAAGGGUGGCCUGGAUCAAGAAUCUCACCUUCUAAGCCAACCAAACUAGGUGUAGCUAUAAGUAGGCAGAGGCAUGGAGGGAACCAUGUCUAGGUACCAACCUGGAUUGUAUAAUAUAAUGAGUUUGAGGGCAGCCUCAACUGCGCAGAGAUAUUAAAUAAAUAUAGUGUUGUGAUCCAGCAGCAGUGUAGCUGGCAGAAGUGUGUAACCCUAGGCAACUCUCUGUCCCCAUCAUACGCCCCAUGCUCUUCUGAACUGACUCACAGGGAACAUGGUGACAUCACUUGUCUUUAAAUAAGAGAUUUUAUUUUUGUUUUAUGAGUAUGAGUGUCUGUCUACAUGUAUGUCCAUAGUGCAUAUGUGCCUGAUGCCUACAGAUGCCAGAGAGGGUACUGGAUCCCCCAGAACAGGAGUUAGACAGCUAUGAGCUGCCAUGCAGAUGCCUAGAACUGAUCACAGGGCUUCAGCAAGAAUAGCAAGUGCUCUUAACUGCUGAGCCAUCUCUCCAGCCUGACCUUCCACCUUCUUGUCUCUUUUUGGUGACCUCUGGCCCAGUGGCAGAGCUCUGACAGUGGGUGGUGGACUCCACUUUGUGAAUCAGGUAGCACUGUGCACCGGAAGGUAGGGGGCAAGGAAACAGGGAUAGACACUCAAAUAUGGGACCCUUCCAGGUAGCCCCCGACUCUCACAGCCCUUGAGCAGGACGCUUUGGAGAAUCCAAGAAGCAGGGGUUACAGCGAUGCCUUCUCUAAUGGCUACAAAACAACAUUGAGCAAGUAAGCUAUCCAGGGAAAAGAGGAAGCCAGGUCGCCUUGAGGAGUGAGAUGUCUAGCAACAUACUUACCAAAUUCCAUUCUUACCCACUGGCGCCUCAUAGGCUGCCGGUCCUUUCAUUGCUCAUUCAGUGCUGCCUAGAACCAAAGGAAAAUAAAGAGGAGUCUCUUCCAAUGCAAUCUAGAAUACGCUUCCAGCUUGAGUAGAAUACGCUUCCAGCUUGAGGCUGGCUAAAGCGUGCUGUCCAGGUUUGCUCUGGGUUUUCUAGGCUGGGGUGGGUGUUUGAACCAGCGUAGGGCAGUCCUGUUGAAGUGGGUGGUACAAAGGCAGUUGGGAAAAAUUCCGAGUGAAGGGCAUGUUUGUGCUUCGUUCUGAUUCAGCUAGGAGCCAACACACAGCCUCUGAUAACACUUUAGCUGUGUUGAAAUCUUCUCGCAAGGAGAUAUGACACUGUAGUGUAUGAAUUAUCCAUGUGACCGAGGAGUGUGUUUCUUAACUUUCUCUAUUCGAAGCAAACUUAUGUGGGUUUUUUUUCCCCUUCUUGUAAGUCUAGGAAAAAAAUCCUAACCUCUCAGACAGUGACAUUACUGUCACCUGCUUAAAAUAGUAUGACGUUCUUCAAGUCUGAGCAUACUCUCUAGGGCUCUCUGUUUUCCAUGAAAGCAUUUAUUUCAGUCAAAAUACUUCAUGUUUUUCUCCAUUCCGACAUUUCCCCAAAAAGGAGUGGCAAGACGAUAUAGCAACUUAAAACUCCCACGCCAUCGCUAACAGAAUGCUUUCCUCCUCCAUGGAGAAUCCCUCUCUCCUCGGACUAUGUCAGAAGCCCUGGGGGCGGGGCUACCCACGUCUGGGGGGUUUCCAGGUCCUGCCUGUGGAUUGGGCUCUAGGAGAUGGGAGGGUACUGUCAGGGAGAUGGGUGGGGCCCCAAGAAGGUGGGUGGGGUUCCAAGGAUGUGGGUGUGGCUCUAAGGAGGUGGGUAGGGUUCUACAGUCCUGGAUGGCGCACCAAGGAGCUAGGCCGGGGUCCAGGGAGCUGUAUGGUACUCUAAAAGAUGAUAGGGUACAUCAGAUGCUGGGUAGGGCUCAAAGGAGGGCUACAAGGGUGUGCCUAGGACUCUAAGGACCUAGAUGGAGCCCCCAAGGAGGUAAGAGGGUCUCUGAGGAGCUGUGUGAGGCUCAGAGGAGCUGAGAGCAGCGCCUAGGUGCAGGGGCAUAUAUGGAAGGUCUGCAGAGACUGAGACGGACUCCAGGGAGCUGAGUGGGGCCUCGGGAGCAGAGAAGGGUUUCUUAAGGCUGAGAAGUCCACCAAGGAGUUAGGAGGUCCCUACAGCCACUGGUGGGCUCCAGGUGCUAGGAGCGGGCCACACUCCUCCGUGCCCUUGUCUUUGGUUGCCCUCACUGCUCAGUUACACCUGUGCUCCUUUUCUCCCCUGAUUGAGGACAGAGUCAGAUUCCCCUUCCCGCCCCCCUCCUGCCUUCCUUAGCCUCAUGCACUGCUGGCCCUCAUCACCCGCAUGAUGGAACUCUGAAUAUUCGGACGUGGGCUCCCGGGCUGCAGAUGUCAUGUCUUUCGGCCUGUUGUUAGCCAGGAGACAACACGGACUCCCCUGGUUUACCUGUGUAGUCCCAGCGCGUCUCAAGGUGCCGUGAGCGCCGCAUCUCCUGUCAGAUGUGGUUGGCGAGAGAUGAGGACAGCAUGACCACCCGGCCCCCCAGUGCGCAAGGCGCAGGUCAGCUCGCGAGGACAGCGGCGCAGUGGUGAUGUGGCCAUGACUACUUGUCAAGAGAGUAGAAGGAAAAGUUGGAAAGGGGGGUUGGAAGUGGCAGGAGGGGGUGAGGAAGGGGGGCUGCAAGAGAAAGGUCCUGUCAUCCCUGGAUGACAUUCUCACUGUUGCCCGGCCUGUUCCACGGGCUGUGUCCAACCCCCUGGGGAUGGGGGAUGGAUUUCCAAACCAUUUUGCAGGCCCCUCACAGGUGCCUGGAGCAAUUUGAUUGGCAGCGCCCAUCAGACAUCUGCAAUUCAUACCACUCGUUUAAUCAGGGCCAUUGGGAAGUCUGGGCUGGCUUUCUCUUGUGUCUUUACUGCUCAUAAGUGUGCCUGUGUGCACCUGGGGUGGGCGACAUCCCAAUGGAAAAUAACUUCGGCCUGGAGCAGGGCACCUUUGGAAGCCUAUAGGCCUGGGAGACUGCUGUGUCGUAACAAGUUUGUGAGAUUUUGGAAGGGAAACCACAGUAAUGGUGCCAGUUCUUAGGAUCAUAAAUAAUCAUAAUGAACAGGACUGCUGUAUAUUUAUGUUGGUUUGUUUUCAGACACUUUUCAUUUUAUUUUGAAUUUUUUCAUAUUGUGUUGACUUGAAACACUUCUGUCUAUAGCAUGGCGUGCUCUGCAGAACACUGGAGAGCAGCGCAAUUCUGUAUCUGUCCACCGAAACACGCAGCGGCCGGGUGCGGGCAACUUCUAACUGCCUUCAGGGUCCCGGGAUGGCCAGAAUGCUAUUCCCAGAGGGACACAGUGUUUUCCAGUUUCCUUCCUGGAUAAGCUUGGAAGGGGUCACAAUCUUGAGAGACCAAGUCAGGAACUAAGGCAAGAACUGCAUUGCUUCUGACCAAGAAACUCCCAUCACAGCCAAAUAAAUAUACCAGGAACGACAGAAGAUGCUGCUGGCUAGCUGGCUUUCAGGCUAACUUAUACUCAGCUAGUUUUCUUAUACAGGUUUCCAGCACAGAGCAUGGCCCAUACUAGAUUUGGAUUAAAGACCCAGAUUAUAGGUGCGUCUCUUCCUAGCUCAAAAGAUCUGGAUUAAAGGAAGCUGACAAAGCCGGCUGCUAUGGAGGAAUGACUUCAGUUGGUUUGGCCACUGGGAGAGCCCCAAAGGGCCUCAGAGAAAACAGUGGGUAUUCUGUCCUGAGCUGACAUACUGCUUUGGGGGUCCUGUAUUUCAGAGCAUUGGUACUCACAACACAUAUAUCCCUAGCCACUGGGACAUUUUAAGGGGUGUUUCUUUUUGUUCUUCCUCUCUUCUUUCUUCUUUCUUCUUUCUCCUCUUCCUCUUAGUUUUCUUUGACAUAGAUAUAAACAUUGAAACUUUCCUCAGGCUCACAUGUCUCCAGACUCAUUCUUUGUGUUUGUGUGUUGGGAUUACAGGUGUGCACUGCCCUACCCGCCAGGGGUGGGUCUUUUGGAACUACUAUGGUACUUUCUCCCUUCACCAAGUCCUUACUCACUCAUAUAGCUCCUUCCAAAUACCGUUUAUUUCCUACCCUUGCACCGUAUAGCCAUUUCCCUAAGUAGGGUACCUGCU
Molecule: long non-coding RNA, 5142 nt
Organism: Mus musculus (house mouse)
Lineage: Eukaryota; Metazoa; Chordata; Mammalia; Rodentia; Muridae
Product: predicted gene, 36286
Exons: 5
Source: RefSeq, a predicted model, not a curated record